UGCGUAGGUGGCCUUUUAAGUUGGAUGUGAAAUACCCGGGCUUAACUUGGGGGUGCAUCUAAUACUGGAAGGCUAGAGUGCAGGAGAGGAAAGCGGAAUUCCUAGUGUAGCGGUGAAAUGCGUAGAUAUUAGGAGGAACACCAGUGGCGAAGGCGGCUUUCUGGACUGUAACUGACACUGAGGCACGAAAGCGUGGGGAGCAAACAG
This 207-nucleotide ribosomal RNA is filed under the name uncultured bacterium. RNAcentral's name for it is "partial 16S ribosomal RNA". It matches the Rfam family "Bacterial small subunit ribosomal RNA", at positions 568 to 775 of the family's 1533-position model. The record is from RNAcentral.